RNAcentral lists this transfer RNA (84 nucleotides) under Podarcis lilfordi (Lilford's wall lizard). Its description in RNAcentral is "tRNA.Ile". The stretch from base 12 to 70 matches the Rfam family "tRNA", at positions 8 to 63 of the family's 71-position model. Rfam says of the family: Transfer RNA (tRNA) molecules are approximately 80 nucleotides in length. Their secondary structure includes four short double-helical elements and three loops (D, anti-codon, and T loops). Lineage: Eukaryota; Metazoa; Chordata; Lepidosauria; Squamata; Lacertidae. The record is from RNAcentral.
GCAAUUUAGGAUAGCUCAGUUGGUUAGAGUGUGGUGCUGAUAAUGCCAAGGUUGCAGGUUCAAUCCCUGUAUGGCACAGCUGCA